GGAUGCGUCUGAUUAGCUUGCCGGCGGGGUAACGGCCCACCGGGGCGACGAUCAGUAGGGGUUCUGAGAGGAAGGUCCCCCACAUUGGAACUGAGACACGGUCCAAACUCCUACGGGAGGCAGCAGUGAGGAAUAUUGGUCAAUGGGCGCGAGCCUGAACCAGCCAAGUAGCGUGCAGGACGACGGCCCUAUGGGUUGUAAACUGCUUUUAUACGGGGAUAAAGUAUGCCACGUGUGGUUUAUUGCAGGUACCGUAUGAAUAAGGACCGGCUAAUUCCGUGCCAGCAGCCGCGGUAAUACGGAAGGUCCGGGCGUUAUCCGGAUUUAUUGGGUUUAAAGGGAGCGUAGGCCGGGUUUUAAGCGUGCCGUGAAAUGUCGGGGCUCAACCUUGACACUGCGGCGCGAACUGGAGUCCUUGAGUGCGCGGAACGUAUGCGGAAUUCGUGGUGUAGCGGUGAAAUGCUUAGAUAUCACGAAGAACCCCGAUUGCGAAGGCAGCAUACGGCAGCGCUACUGACGCUGAAGCUCGAAGGCGCGGGUAUCGAACAGGAUUAGAUACCCUGGUAGUCCGCGCGGUAAACGAUGGAUGCCCGCUGUU
Molecule: ribosomal RNA, 598 nt
Filed under: uncultured bacterium
Lineage: Bacteria
Description: bacterial SSU rRNA
Rfam family: Bacterial small subunit ribosomal RNA
Source: RNAcentral